UGUCAAGUCAUCAUGGCCUUUAUGCCCAGGGCUACACACGUGCUACAAUGGGGAGGACAAAGGGUUGCGAAGGGGCGACCCGGAGCCGAUCCCGAAAAGCCGUCUCAGUUCGGAUUGCACUCUGCAACUCGAGUGCAUGAAGUCGGAAUCGCUAGUAAUCGCGGAUCAGCACGCCGCGGUCGAAUACGUUCCCGGGCCUU
This 200-nucleotide ribosomal RNA is filed under the name uncultured organism. Its description in RNAcentral is "partial small subunit ribosomal RNA". It matches the Rfam family "Bacterial small subunit ribosomal RNA", at positions 1183 to 1382 of the family's 1533-position model. The record is from RNAcentral.